GACUGAUCGAAAUAAAAGGCAUCUUUUAUUUAAAAGACCUUUUUCGGAAGGUAUGCUUAAAGAGGGGCUUGCGUCACAUUAGUUAGUUGGCAGGGUAAAGGCCUACCAAGACUAUGAUGUGUAGCUGGACUGAGAGGUUGAACAGCCACAUUGGGACUGAGACACGGCCCAAACUCCUACGGGAGGCAGCAGUAGGGAAUUUUCGGCAAUGGAGGAAACUCUGACCGAGCAACGCCGCGUGAACGAUGAAGUAUUUCGGUAUGUAAAGUUCUUUUAUUGAAGAAGAAAAAAUAGUGGAAAAACUAUCUUGACGAUAUUCAAUGAAUAAGCCCCGGCAAACUAUGUGCCAGCAGCCGCGGUAAUACAUAGGGGGCGAGCGUUAUCCGGAAUUAUUGGGCGUAAAGGGUGCGUAGGCGGUUUAAUAAGUCUAUAGUUUAAUUUCAGUGCUUAACACUGUCCUGCUAUAGAAACUAUUAGACUAGAGUGAGAUAGAGGCAAGUGGAAUUCCAUGUGUAGCGGUAAAAUGCGUAAAUAUAUGGAGGAACACCAGAGGCGUAGGCGGCUUGCUGGGUCUUUACUGACGCUGAGGCACGAAAGCGUGGGGAGCAAACAGGAUUAGAUACCCUGGUAGUCCACGCCGUAAACGAUGAGUACUAAGUGUCGGGAUUACUCGGUACUGAAGUUAACACAUUAAGUACUCCGCCUGAGUAGUACGUACGCAAGUAUGAAACUUAAAGGAAUUGACGGGACUCCGCACAAGCGGUGGAUCAUGUUGUUUAAUUCGAAGAUACACGAAAAACCUUACCAGGUCUUGACAUACCUCUGCAAAGCUAUAGCAAUAUAGUGGAGGUUAUCAGAGAUACAGGUGGUGCAUGGUUGUCGUCAGCUCGUGUCGUGAGAUGUUAGGUUAAGUCCUAAAACGAGCGCAACCCUUGUCAUUAGUUGCCAGCAUGUCAUGAUGGGCACUUUAAUGAGACUGCCAAUGAAAAAUUGGAGGAAGGUGAGGAUCACGUCAAAUCAUCAUGCCCCUUAUGAUCUGGGCUACAAACGUGAUACAAUGGCUGUUACAAAGAGUAGCUGAAACGCAAGUUUAUAGCCAAUCUCAUAAAAGCAGUCUCAGUUCGGAUUGAAGUCUGCAACUCGACUUCAUGAAGUUGGAAUCGCUAGUAAUCGCGAAUCAGCAUUUCGCGAAUUCAUU
This 1198-nucleotide ribosomal RNA is filed under the name Sugarcane phytoplasma (uncharacterized). RNAcentral describes it as "bacterial SSU rRNA". It matches the Rfam family "Bacterial small subunit ribosomal RNA", at positions 168 to 1372 of the family's 1533-position model. Lineage: Bacteria; Bacillati; Mycoplasmatota; Mollicutes; Acholeplasmatales; Acholeplasmataceae. The record is from RNAcentral.